RNAcentral lists this ribosomal RNA (497 nucleotides) under uncultured bacterium. RNAcentral's name for it is "partial 16S ribosomal RNA". It matches the Rfam family "Bacterial small subunit ribosomal RNA", at positions 28 to 507 of the family's 1533-position model. The record is from RNAcentral.
GACGAACGCUGGCGGCGUGCCUAAUACAUGCAAGUAGAACGCUGAAGAGAGGAGCUUGCUCUUCUUGGAUGAGUUGCGAACGGGUGAGUAACGCGUAGGUAACCUGCCUUGUAGCGGGGGAUAACUAUUGGAAACGAUAGCUAAUACCGCAUAACAAUGGAUGACACAAGUCAUUUAUUUGAAAGGGGCAAUUGCUCCACUACAAGAUGGACCUGCGUUGUAUUAGCUAGUAGGUGAGGUAAUGGCUCACCUAGGCGACGAUACAUAGCCGACCUGAGAGGGUGAUCGGCCACAGUGGGACUGAGACACGGCCCAGACUCCUACGGGAGGCAGCAGUAGGGAAUCUUCGGCAAUGGGGGCAAGCCUGACCGAGCAACGCCGCGUGAGUGAAGAAGGUUUUCGGAUCGUAAAGCUCUGUUGUUAGUCAAGAACGGUUGUGAGAGUGGAAAGUUCACACUGUGACGGUAGCUAACCAGAAAGGGACGGCUAACUACGUG